This 518-nucleotide small RNA is filed under the name Arabidopsis thaliana (thale cress). RNAcentral's name for it is "ATSL086100". The record is from RNAcentral. Lineage: Eukaryota; Viridiplantae; Streptophyta; Magnoliopsida; Brassicales; Brassicaceae.
UUGCGGCCAUACAUGUGAUAGUAGGAUUUUGUCAAUUAAUCCCGAAAACACUAUCUUGUCGUUGUAGUAUUUUAGGAUGUCAAUCCAAUCCGGUGUGAUGCAAACAGAUGAGAUAUGAUCAGAAAGCUCUAAGUCAAGCCAAGAAGAUAGUUGGUUGGUUCUAACAGUCCUAGUAUGCAAUAACAGAAAUGAAAUGAAACUAAAAGCAGGAAUGGCAAUAGCAGGCAAGUGAAUGACAAAGCAGAAAUGAUAACAGGCAAUCAAAUGGAUAAACGAUUCCUAAGGAUGGGGUAAUCGAAUAGUGUGGUCUACUUAAUCUAUUCAGGCGGUUGACAAAACUUCACAGAAGCUAUCCCUAGACAACAAGUUCAACAACAGAUUAAUUCACUCCCGUGAUAGAAAUCCUCAAGCAAAGCUAGACACUGACCUAAAUCCCUUUAGCGAUCUCUAACUAAGCAGGCAUUAUCGAAUCAACAUGUUAAAGUCAAUCCCCUCUCUACAGCCAAUCCCUUGGAGUA